Molecule: ribosomal RNA, 502 nt
Filed under: uncultured bacterium
Lineage: Bacteria
Description: partial 16S ribosomal RNA
Rfam family: Bacterial small subunit ribosomal RNA
Source: RNAcentral
GAUUAACGCUGGCGGCGUGCCUAACACAUGCAAGUCGAGCGGCAGCGAGUUUUACACUGAAUUCUGGAAGCUUCUAGUUGAAAGAGAAGAUUUAUUCAAGAAUUUUGUGUAAAAUGUCGGCGAGCGGCGGACGGCUGAGUAACGCGUGGGAACGUACCCCAAAGUGAGGGAUAACGCAUCGAAAGGUGUGCUAAUACCGCAUAUGGUCUUCGGAUUAAAGCCUUCGGGCGCUUUGGGAACGGCCUGCGUAAGAUUAGAUAGUUGGUGGGGUAAUGGCCUACCAAGUCGACGAUCUUCAACUGGUAUGAGAGGAUGAUCAGUCAGACUGGAACUGGGACACGGUCCAGACUCCUACGGGAGGCAGCAGUGAGGAAUCUUCCACAAUGGGCGAAAGCCUGAUGGAGCAACGCCGCGUGCAGGAUGAAGGCCUUCGGGUUGUAAACUGCUUUUAUAAGUGAGGAUUAUGACAGUAACUUAUGAAUAAGGAUCGGCUAACUACGUG